UACGAAGGGUGCUAGCGUUGUUCGGAAUCACUGGGCGUAAAGCGCGCGUAGGCGGCGAUACAAGUCAGGGGUGAAAUCCCACAGCUCAACUGUGGAAUUGCCUUUGAAACUAGAUUGCUAGAGUGUCGGAGGGGAUAGCGGAAUUGCUAAUGUAGAGGUGAAAUUCGUAGAUAUUAGCAGGAACACCGGUGGCGAAGGUGGCUAUCGGGACGACAACUGACGCUGAGGCGCGAAAGCUUGGGGAUCAAACAGG
Molecule: ribosomal RNA, 253 nt
Filed under: uncultured bacterium
Lineage: Bacteria
Description: partial 16S ribosomal RNA
Rfam family: Bacterial small subunit ribosomal RNA
Source: RNAcentral